Molecule: ribosomal RNA, 253 nt
Filed under: uncultured bacterium
Lineage: Bacteria
Description: partial 16S ribosomal RNA
Rfam family: Bacterial small subunit ribosomal RNA
Source: RNAcentral
UACGUAGGGUGCGAGCGUUGUCCGGAAUUAUUGGGCGUAAAGGGCUUGUAGGCGGUUUGUCGCGUCUGCUGUGAAAAUCCGGGGCUCGACCCCGGACUUGCAGUGGGUACGGGCAGACUGGAGUGUGGUAGGGGAGACUGGAAUUCCUGGUGUAGCGGUGGAAUGCGCAGAUAUCAGGAGGAACACCGAUGGCGAAGGCAGGUCUCUGGGCCACUACUGACGCUGAGAAGCGAAAGCAUGGGGAGCGAACAGG